GACGAACGCUGGCGGCGUGCCUAACACAUGCAAGUCGAGCGGAGAUAAGCGGAUGGUAACUGAAGUUUGUCUUAGCGGCGGACGGGUGAGUAACACGUGGGCAACCUGCCUUGGAGUGGGGGAUAACACCGGGAAAUCGGUGCUAAUACCGCAUAACAUACACAAACUGCAUGGUAAGUGUAUCAAAGGAGCAAUCCGCUUUAAGAUGGGCCCGCGGCUGAUUAGCUAGUUGGUAAGGUAACGGCUUACCAAGGCGACGAUCAGUAGCCGACCUGAGAGGGUGACCGGCCACACUGGAACUGAGACACGGUCCAGACUCCUACGGGAGGCAGCAGUGGGGAAUAUUGCGCAAUGGGGGGAACCCUGACGCAGCAACGCCGCGUGGAGGAAGAAGGUCUUCGGAUUGUAAACUCCUGUCUUCUGGGACGAAGUAGUGACGGUACCAGAGGAGGAAGCCACGGCUAACUACGUG
Molecule: ribosomal RNA, 472 nt
Filed under: uncultured bacterium
Lineage: Bacteria
Description: bacterial SSU rRNA
Rfam family: Bacterial small subunit ribosomal RNA
Source: RNAcentral